Molecule: transfer RNA, 80 nt
Filed under: Podocarpus macrophyllus
Lineage: Eukaryota; Viridiplantae; Streptophyta; Pinopsida; Araucariales; Podocarpaceae
Also listed under: 9 other names
Description: tRNA-Val
Rfam family: tRNA
About the family: Transfer RNA (tRNA) molecules are approximately 80 nucleotides in length. Their secondary structure includes four short double-helical elements and three loops (D, anti-codon, and T loops).
Source: RNAcentral
AGGGCUAUAGCUCAGCAAGGUAGAGCACCUCGUUUACACUUUCACCGAGAAGGUCUACGGUUCGAGCCCGUAUAGCCCUA